This 175-nucleotide non-coding RNA is filed under the name Thermodesulfovibrio sp. Lineage: Bacteria; Pseudomonadati; Nitrospirota; Thermodesulfovibrionia; Thermodesulfovibrionales; Thermodesulfovibrionaceae. The record is from RNAcentral.
GUUGACACUAAAGGACUGGAUGUCAGGGAAGAGAGGUGAAAAUCCUCUGCUGCCCCGCAGCCGUGAAGGGAACGAAAGCCCGGUUCAGAGCCACUGUCCCGAUACAAAUCGGGAUGGGAAGGCGGGUGAGUAGAUGGCCCGAAGCCGGAAGACCUAUCCAGACCAGAAAGUUCAA